GUGGUAUCGAUUUGAGGAAGAACACCGAAGCAGUCAACUGGAGUCAAACCCCUUCCCCCAUUUCCUCUCCGUCCUCCUCUCGCCCCCCUCUCCGCGCCGCGCCACGCCACGCCAUGGAUCCCGCCGACGACGACGGCCAGCACCUCGAAGGUACGCACCCGCCCGCAGGCCGCUCAUCUUCACCCGCCCCGGACACAGACGACGGCGGCAGCGGGUGGGGGAGCGACAAGCCGCCGACGCGCGCGGAGGAGGGGCGCAUCGCCGGGAAGGCCACCAUGGAACCCUCGCCGUCGCCGGAGUCCGCCAUCUCCGACGACGGACGCCCCCAAGUCGUCCUCUCCUCUCCGCCGGGCCCAGAAGACGGCGGCAGCGACGAUCUGACGCGCGCCGUGUCCCAGCUGACGCUCGCGGAGGCGGGGCUCACCGCCGGGAAGGCCGGGUCCGCCCCCCGCGUCGUGGAUCCCUCGCCGCCAGCCUCCACCGUCUCCUCCCAUGCUCACCAAGAUGACGACGAUGUCGCCGGCGUGAACAAGCGGACGCACGCGAGGUUCCUCGUCACCCACGCCGAGGCCGGGCUCAUCAUCGGGGCGGGCGGGUCCGCCGUCGCCGCAGUCGAGGCCCGCUCCGGCGCCCGGGUCAGGCUCUCCCGCCACGACGAGCUCCUCCCCGGCACCGACCGCAGGGUUGUGCUCGUCUCCGGCCUCCUCAGCCAGGUCAUGGAUGCCAUGGAGCUACUGCUCGAGAGGCUCCUUCACCAGGGUGGCCCGGCGUCCGACUCCGAGGCCACGGUAGUGCUUGUGGUGCCUCAGCCCUGCUGCGGCACGCUGAUCGGCAAAGGAGGAUCUGUUAUCAAGUCAUUCACUGAAGCUUCGGAAACUGCAAUUCAGGUCUCACCACAGAACGUCUCCUAUGGCUUCAAUGACAGGCUGAUCACUAUCACAGGACCCUUGGACAAUCGAUUGCGAGCAGUGUUUCUGAUAAUAUUUGAGCUCCUAGAGGACAUUCGUUAUUCUUUUGUACAUGCAGCUGCUACGCCAGACACUCCAAUGAGAUCACCUGUUAACAAGGACGCCCAAGAAUCUCUCACUAUUGCUGUUGCUGAUGAGUAUAUGGGUGCUGUUAUUGGUCGUGGUGGAAGGAUUAUCAAUGAGAUCAGCAAGUGCCCGGGAAUCUUGUGUUUUGACCAAUUUCUCUAGAGGUGUUACGUCCUUCUAGAUGAGUUGUGUUGAGGAAAGCUGUUUUGUUUGGGUUACUGUCAUCUUGUCCUAGAUGCGGUGCUUAACUAAAGCAAGUCACUUGCAGCAAGAAGCGGGUAGUAGUUUUCCUUACUUGUGAAUAUGGGUUUUCUAUGUAAGCUUGCACCAAUUGGAAGGAACUAAAGAAACUGAAGUACUGGACUACCGUGUGUCACGCGUACAAGGCAGAAAGUUAGUUUGUCAUAUGAUGGGUGGGGUUUGUUUGGACUAUGAGGUGAAGCCUGGCAUAAGGAAGAACCUGUUAAAAGUUGUUGGUGUUAGCUAAAGCUCCCCAACAGAGCAUGUGCACUAGGAACAUGCGUGCCUGGUGCAGUUAGCGGAGCAUGGAUCGACAUCUCAGGCAAGGGGGAGUUCAUACCCGGGACUCGCGACAGGGAGGUGACUAUGAGCGGCACGUCAGAGGCGAUCCGCGCAGCCGAGGCGAUGAUCAUGCACCGCGUCUCCGUGGCCAGCGGCGAGGGCGGCAACUUCACGUGGCGGAGGGUGGAGGGCAGAAGCGGCAAGGGUCUGCUUACCAGGCUGGAUGAGGAGUAGGAUGCAGUCAUGCAGAUGCAUCUGCUGAACUUGAGUGAGGAGAGUGUGACACAGUAGGUAGUAGAUCGGACAUAGUAGACAGACAAGACAAACACAUCACAGGAGGGUAUGGAACCAGUAGAGUUUUGCGUCUCUGGUAGAGUGGCGAUUAAUCAAAUCAAUCGCUAGUUCAAUGGAUUAGUCAGGUAAAUGGAUGGGAUCAGUGAUGAUGGGAUGGCUAGGUUCUGCUGGUCAAUGCUGUUUGACCAAUUUUGCUUGUUAACAUUGGUCACAUUGGGAUCUUGGGGUUUGAAACAAUCUUAUCUCCCUUGACUUGA
RNA transcript from Triticum aestivum (bread wheat), 2107 nucleotides. It is a transcript of the gene named protein BTR1, with no coding region annotated. The record is from RefSeq and is a predicted model, not a curated record. Lineage: Eukaryota; Viridiplantae; Streptophyta; Magnoliopsida; Poales; Poaceae. The transcript is spliced from 9 exons.